AUUCUUGCGCUGACUUUAGCAUGCCACACAUGGCAAAAACAGACUCAGAACCUAAACUCUGCAGUUUGAAAAAGACCUGACACUGCUUUACUUCUUAACUUCUUAACCUACGAGAUCUAGAGGGUGCCACAUCAAGACUUGCUUCAAAAAACAAAACAAAAAAACAACUGUCUGGAAACAAGUUUAUUUUUGCCAUUGUUGCCUAAAAUAGCUAUAUAAGUAUUCCGUGGAUGUGAUUCAUAGGUCAAAAAAAUCCCUCUGAGUUCAACUCUGAGUAGCAAGUACUUGUGCUUUUUUUGAUUUUGGGCCCAGAAAUGAAGAUCACUUGUAUUAUACUGUCUUAAGAAGACAAUGCACAACA
This is a long non-coding RNA of Carassius carassius (crucian carp), 361 nucleotides long. RefSeq lists it as uncharacterized. The transcript is spliced from 2 exons. NCBI's taxonomy places the organism in Eukaryota, Metazoa, Chordata, Actinopteri, Cypriniformes, Cyprinidae. The record is from RefSeq and is a predicted model, not a curated record.